This 253-nucleotide ribosomal RNA is filed under the name uncultured bacterium. RNAcentral's name for it is "partial 16S ribosomal RNA". It matches the Rfam family "Bacterial small subunit ribosomal RNA", at positions 524 to 776 of the family's 1533-position model. The record is from RNAcentral.
UACGUAGGGAGCGAGCGUUGUCCGGAUUUACUGGGUGUAAAGGGUGCGUAGGCGGGUAUGCAAGUCAGAAGUGAAAUGCAUGGGCUUAACCCAUGAACUGCUUUUGAAACUGCGUAUCUUGAGUGAAGUAGAGGUAGGCGGAAUUCCCGGUGUAGCGGUGAAAUGCGUAGAGAUCGGGAGGAACACCAGUGGCGAAGGCGGCCUACUGGGCUUUAACUGACGCUGAAGCACGAAAGCGUGGGUAGCAAACAGG